This is a non-coding RNA of Pelobates cultripes (western spadefoot toad), 852 nucleotides long. Lineage: Eukaryota; Metazoa; Chordata; Amphibia; Anura; Pelobatidae. The record is from the annotation of a GenBank genome assembly.
CUUAAGUUAAGGUAGGGUAAUAAAGAGACAUGCUAAAAGACUGAAAAAGAAACAGAGCAAGGAAGAAAGUAAAAAAAAAGAAACAUGACAGAGUAAGAAGGGAGGAUAAAAGGGCAGAGAGGGGUGUGAAUAAAGAUAGGAGGGAAAGGGGCAAAAAAUACAUUGUAGAGGAGUGGGCUGUCAGAAGAGUGAGGGGAGAAAAAGUCAUGGGGAGGUAGAAGCAUUGCGAAACCAACCUGAUCUGACUUGCAGUGCAAUCCGAUCCUUAGGUUUAGUUUUUUUUAAUGUCAUUAUAUCCUGACCUGCACCAGACAGAUAUCUGUGAUUAUAUUCAAUGUAAAAAGAAGGACACGAGUUCUAACCCUCCUACCUGGAUCUCCAAAUUAAAAAAAACAACCCCUUUGCUUUUCUUCAGCAUGAGACUGACAUAGGAUUGAGUGCAAAGUAAGCCUCCUAGCACCCACCCCCUCUCCAGCCGAGCAGCCCGCAACCAUUCAAAGCAGCAUAACACACGCACAGAAAUAUAUAUGUGUAUCUUUUGCAACAGAUCAAGGAAGUCUGCAGAAGAAGAAACAGAAGAGCUCGGGCAAGGGAUUGAAGGAUUGCACAGAGCGGCCAUCACGUUAAACGUUCUAUUUUUUUGGAUGACAUACAUGGAGUUACUUUGUAUCCACUCCUAGGAAGAAGAGGGAGAGCGAGAAAAGAUCAUCGCUGGCUACACUGUGUGUACUGCUAUGCUGGACUUUCUGUGGAAUGGUUUUAUCUAUUUUUUCACCUUAGGAUCCUCCCCUAUUUUAACGUGAGCUAAUCUCAACAGUGAGGACACCCCAAACAGCAAGGUAAACCGAUAAC